This is a long non-coding RNA of Polypterus senegalus (gray bichir), 357 nucleotides long. RefSeq lists it as uncharacterized. The transcript is spliced from 3 exons. NCBI's taxonomy places the organism in Eukaryota, Metazoa, Chordata, Cladistia, Polypteriformes, Polypteridae. The record is from RefSeq and is a predicted model, not a curated record.
AAAAGGAGUGCUCCUGAACCAUCCAUCCGUCGUCACCCUUUCAGCAACUACUGGGUCCAUGGAAAGUCAGAGUCUACCCUUAGUGAACUGGUUUUAGGGCAAGAACCAGCUGUGCAUCAGACACCAGUCCACUGCAAGGCGCUCAAUAUUCAUACAGAAUAUGAGGAACUGACGAUGGAGGAGUUAACGGAACUACAGACUCAGCAACAUACGGAGGUUCUGCAGGAAAUUGGUAUUGCAGAAGAGCCAGAGGCGGAAGAGGUUAUCUCUUCAAGAGAGAUAAAGGAAGUUUUGGCAAUGUGGGAAAGAAUUUCAGACUUUAUUGAAAAGAAACACCCUGAAGAAGUUGCAACUGGC